Girardinichthys multiradiatus is the source of this 685-nucleotide long non-coding RNA. RefSeq lists it as uncharacterized. Lineage: Eukaryota; Metazoa; Chordata; Actinopteri; Cyprinodontiformes; Goodeidae. The record is from RefSeq and is a predicted model, not a curated record. The transcript is spliced from 5 exons.
CCAUCAGGAACAGCAAAGAAGAGGGUAUCCAGCGAAGAAGAAAUCCGAUCCUAUCAGAAACAGCGGUACCGAUAGCACGGAGGAAAACGGUGCUUUUCAGCGACAUCGGCUGGCCAGUCUGUUGAUGAAGACUACAACUUUCAGUUGAAAGUAGCGCUUUAGCGCUUUAGAGGAGGUCAAGGUGAUGCAACAACAACAGCAUGGAUGCUGCAAACCCUUUACUUCUGUGGAAGAGGUGGACUCAUCAGAGAAGCUCCUUCCAGCUUCCACUAAGGAACACAAAGCCCUGAACCAGAAACUUAAGUCUGGAGCACUUCCUAAAAAAUAUACUUCAAAAUCAUCAAAGACAUCUUAGUAGACUGAAGACAUCAUAAUAAAGAGGAUCGGAGAGCCCAAGCUCUCAACAUUAAAGAGGCAUAGGCUUUUAAUCGCUCCAUUUUGACCGAUGUGGAGUACCGAUACAUCAAACAGGAGACGGACACAGAAAUCAGAGUGCCCUGUGACGGAUGCAGCAGGAGGCAGCCUCCAAGAGACAUCAACAUUUGAACUAUCACAGAGUAUCUUGUUAAUAAAAGUGAUCUUCAAAAUAUGCUUAAUAUUACAUUCAUAUGUGCAGUUAUGUAGAUGCAAAACAUCUGAUGUACUACAAAAAUUUAUAAACUGUAAUAAACUAAUGUGUUUAUUA